RNAcentral lists this long non-coding RNA (378 nucleotides) under Lathyrus oleraceus (garden pea). Its description in RNAcentral is "Pisum sativum (pea) long non-coding RNA (PSAT_LNC005537)". Lineage: Eukaryota; Viridiplantae; Streptophyta; Magnoliopsida; Fabales; Fabaceae. The record is from RNAcentral.
ACAAACUCUGUGGGGAUAUGGUUCACACAGAAGAAAAGACAAUCCAUUGGAGUAAUACACUCACCAGGAACAGAGACUCUAACAGGACUCUUAUGGGGAUAAUAAGAAAAAGAAAAAGAAAGCGUGAGCAGGACACGACUCUGAAUUGGGGAAAGACAAAACUGACACAUCGUGAACAUGACACGACUGGACUGGAGACCUUUCUGGGGAGUGAAGGACUCACACUGGGGAAUAAAGUGAAGGAUUCCAAAGGAAGAACACCCAUUGGAAAGACACAAGCUGAUUCCUGGGGAAAAGCAACAAGAUGAGGUGUUACCGGUAUAAGGGCAACAAGCUCAGGAAGAAUGAAUAUCUAAGACCGGUAUAAGGGUGAGAGAU